CCAUUCCAAGGUCCAAAGCCAUUAUGUUAAGCACUUGAUCGGAUGGCUAUCGGUUCACUUCAGCCACUGACACCACACCACAUGGGAAAGGCUGAGCUAAGUUGGUAUUCGAUGUUUAACUUGCGAUUCUAUCAUAAACGAACAGCUUUUCCAGCUACUAGUUCUACAUAACAUAGAACAUGGCUAUUGUUCGUUUAUAUGUAACAAACAACACAAAGAAAGCUACAGUUUUAAAGUCCAAUUUGACAAAUAUUUCCUAGAAAUAAAGCAAGUUCACUGCAGAGGUCCAACAGUUAAGUACUGAAUAUAUGAAGAGUUUCAUCAGCUCUCUGCUUGUCUAACAUUUAUGUUCUGAUAACUUCAAUUUGAUGCCUUUAAUUAAUGUGUCUGUUCAAUAUUAAAACUGCAUUCUAAGUUGCUGGAUUGUCUCAUGCGAUCAGCCUGAAACUGUCAUAGAAUCUGCAAAGACUGGUGAUACAGGUUAAGGUCAAGGCCAGCAACAUUCCCACCUACUCGUGCCCGCAAGAUUAAUAAUUAAUUCAGGAAGCCUUCAACCUUUUGGAAUGAUGAUAUCAACCUCUUACCUCAGGAAGCCUUCAAUCUUCAGGAUGGCAUUUCGAUCAGCAAUUAUAGCUGUAUCUGUCUCUACAGCAUGAUUUGUAACCUGGUUGGCAAAGAUUUUAAGCUUUAAAUUGGUAGGCUAUUAUCAUAAAAAAUAAUAAAAAACCCGGUGCAAUCAUCCGGCGUCUAAUUUCAG
This 757-nucleotide long non-coding RNA is filed under the name Citrus sinensis (sweet orange). RNAcentral describes it as "long non-coding RNA (CSIN_LNC001392)". Lineage: Eukaryota; Viridiplantae; Streptophyta; Magnoliopsida; Sapindales; Rutaceae. The record is from RNAcentral.